RNAcentral lists this ribosomal RNA (171 nucleotides) under Triticum aestivum (bread wheat). RNAcentral describes it as "partial small subunit ribosomal RNA". Lineage: Eukaryota; Viridiplantae; Streptophyta; Magnoliopsida; Poales; Poaceae. The record is from RNAcentral.
AUGAUGUUUUUUCAAGCUUUCUAUGACCAUGGCAGUGAUCUGAGCGGCAUCAACACUGCCAAUAUUGUGUUGCUCCCGAAGAAAGAGAACCCAACGGAUAUUAGGAAUUUUAGGCCCAUCGCUUUGGUUCAUAGUAUACCCAAGCUUGCAACAAAGGUUCUAGCUGUCUGA